GAAGAAGAAGAAGAAGAAAGAGAAGGAUCCUUACUUGUUACUGCAUGCUUCUCCAUUUCAAAGAUCUGCUUUCCAGGUUUGUCUUCUUUAUUUUUCCUCUUCUUUUCCUUCUCCCCUCAUCUCUAUCCAGCCUUGUUCAAGGUUUUUUCUUUAUCUCUUCUCUUUUGUCACGCACGCCUCAUUUCUAUCCAGCCUUCUUCAUGCUUCUUUUUCUCCUCUUCUCUUCCUUCAUGCCUCGUCUCUCUCUAACCCUGUUCAUGCUUUUUCGUUCCUUCAUUCUACUCUGUUGCUCUAGCUCUCGUUCUUUAAAAUUGUCAAUGGCUUGGUGUUAGAUUUUUUUUUCUACUCUUCUUGCUUCUCUCUUUUC
Molecule: unclassified non-coding RNA, 367 nt
Filed under: Hevea brasiliensis (rubber tree)
Lineage: Eukaryota; Viridiplantae; Streptophyta; Magnoliopsida; Malpighiales; Euphorbiaceae
Source: RNAcentral